Molecule: ribosomal RNA, 1240 nt
Filed under: uncultured bacterium
Lineage: Bacteria
Description: partial 16S ribosomal RNA
Rfam family: Bacterial small subunit ribosomal RNA
Source: RNAcentral
AGAUUAGAGUUUGAUCAUGGCUCAGAGUGAACGCUGGCGGUAGGCCUAACACAUGCAAGUCGAACGGCAGCACAGUAAGAGCUUGCUCUUACGGGUGGCGAGUGGCGGACGGGUGAGGAAUGCAUCGGAAUCUACUCUGUCGUGGGGGAUAACGUAGGGAAACUUACGCUAAUACCGCAUACGACCUACGGGUGAAAGCAGGGGAUCUUCGGACCUUGCGCGAUUGAAUGAGCCGAUGCCCGAUUAGCUAGUUGGCGGGGUAAGAGCCCACCAAGGCGACGAUCGGUAGCUGGUCUGAGAGGAUGAUCAGCCACACUGGAACUGAGACACGGUCCAGACUCCUACGGGAGGCAGCAGUGGGGAAUAUUGGACAAUGGGGGGAACCCUGAUCCAGCCAUGCCGCGUGUGUGAAGAAGGCCUUAUGGUUGUAAAGCACUUUAAGCGAGGAGGAGGCUCUCUUGGUUAAUACCCAAGAUGAGUGGACGUUACACGCAGAAUAAGCACCGGCUAACUCUGUGCCAGCAGCCGCGGUAAUACAGAGGGUGCGAGCGUUAAUCGGAUUUACUGGGCGUAAAGCGUGCGUAGGCGGCUUUUUAAGUCGGAUGUGAAAUCCCCGAGCUUAACUUGGGAAUUGCAUUCGAUACUGGGAAGCUAGAGUAUGGGAGAGGAUGGUAGAAUUCCAGGUGUAGCGGUGAAAUGCGUAGAGAUCUGGAGGAAUACCGAUGGCGAAGGCAGCCAUCUGGCCUAAUACUGACGCUGAGGUACGAAAGCAUGGGGAGCAAACAGGAUUAGAUACCCUGGUAGUCCAUGCCGUAAACGAUGUCUACUAGCCGUUGGGGCCUUUGAGGUUUUAGUGGCGCAGCUAACGCGAUAAGUAGACCGCCUGGGGAGUACGGUCGCAAGACUAAAACUCAAAUGAAUUGACGGGGGCCCGCACAAGCGGUGGAGCAUGUGGGUUAAUUCUAUGCAACGCGAAAAACUUACCUGGUCUUGACAUAUUAGAAACUUUCAGAAUUGGAUUGGGGCUUCGGGAACUUACAUACAGGGGUGCAUGGCUGUCGUCAGUUCGUGUCGGGAAAUGUUGGGUUAAGUCCCGCAACCAGAGCGCAAACCCUUUUCUUUUAUUGCCAUCACUUCCGGUGGGAAACCUUUAGGGUAUCUGCUAGUGACAACUGAAGGGAGGGCGGGGUACCUACACCUAAGUCUUCUUGGUGGCUCUUAUAAAAUACAGAGGGUCUAC